CCUGAAAACAGGUAACAUCCUUUUUCCCCCAUUUGCUGUACUUAUCCCUAGAAAGGACUGCUUUUUGGCAUGUCUCCUUGAGAGUCUUUGUCAGCAGGAAAAAGGCUGCUUUGCAGGUCCCCUGCUGUGCAAAUCGCCCUUCACAGAGGAAGAUCUUCCUGCCAGUGACUGACAAGAGGUGCCAGGAGCAGGCUACGAGACUUUUGAAACCUGUGAGUUGGCAAAUCAGCAGGGCUUUAUGAAGGAAGCUGGAGGCAGUUCUCAUUAGUCUCACUGACAUCUUUUAUCACUUAUCAGAGGAACAAGCAAACGGAGAGCAAUUCCUUUGAUCAUGGCAAAAGUAGAAAGAGUAUUAAAAACCCUAUGAAGAUUCACUAAGUAGAAAGUGGAAAAGACAGUCUGUGGCAUGUUUCAAAGUAGUAACAAGAUUUAAAGUUGCCAGAUUUGCUUGUAUAUAUUAAAGAAUUGUUAAUGAUGCUACAUUUUA
Molecule: long non-coding RNA, 487 nt
Organism: Passer domesticus (house sparrow)
Lineage: Eukaryota; Metazoa; Chordata; Aves; Passeriformes; Passeridae
Exons: 3
Source: RefSeq, a predicted model, not a curated record